RNAcentral lists this transfer RNA (69 nucleotides) under Junonia goudotii. Its description in RNAcentral is "Junonia goudoti tRNA-Ala". It matches the Rfam family "tRNA". Rfam says of the family: Transfer RNA (tRNA) molecules are approximately 80 nucleotides in length. Their secondary structure includes four short double-helical elements and three loops (D, anti-codon, and T loops). The record is from RNAcentral. Lineage: Eukaryota; Metazoa; Arthropoda; Insecta; Lepidoptera; Nymphalidae.
UUACUAGGAUUAUAGUUUAUAAAAAUAUUUGAUUUGCAUUCAAAAGAUAUUGAUAUUCAAUUUAUCUUA